This is a long non-coding RNA of Rhipicephalus sanguineus (brown dog tick), 645 nucleotides long. RefSeq lists it as uncharacterized. NCBI's taxonomy places the organism in Eukaryota, Metazoa, Arthropoda, Arachnida, Ixodida, Ixodidae. The transcript is spliced from 3 exons. The record is from RefSeq and is a predicted model, not a curated record.
UACAGUUCGCUGAGCCUCAGAGAACUGGUGGAAGAAUACGUUAUUGUACGCAACGAAUCUUUGGGAGGAGCAAUUGCCGAUUUCGGACUUACAGCCGAUUACAGAUAUUGGACACAGACUCAACCACCCCCAGCGGAGCCUCCAGUUUCGGGAGAAGAGGAUUGGAUCGAAUACACUAUGCCAAUAGAAUACCUUCCUACUGAAGAGAUACAUUGCUUUGGAAUUUUCACGUGGUCAUUUCAAAUGGGCGUAUCUGCCCCAUUUCACAUUUUUCUCAACGUCACAGUUCCUGUAGGGAUCUCUGGACUACCACCUAGGUUCGUCGUAUUCGACCUAAGCAACAAGACACAGGAGACAGUAAUCGAAAAGUGGGGAAAGGAUUCAGUUACGAGCAAUCAUAGGAAACACAUAAGGGUAUACACUUUCACAGUUAAGGUCGACUUUGAAGGCUUCUUUGCAUAUUGUCUCAAGGGAAUCAACAGUGUGUCACCAACUUGCACUGCCGUGAAUGUCACCGCCCUCGCGGACAGCAGUAGAGGACUCACGAUAGACAAAGGCAAGCUAACUUACACGUUGAACGGAACUUAUGUGGAACAAAUAGUGUGCUACGGUAAGCGUAGAAAAAAUAAAGUUUUGCAUAUUCAA